UACGGAGGGUGCGAGCGUUAAUCGGAAUCACUGGGCGUAAAGGGCGCGUAGGCGGUUUGGUAAGUCGGGUGUGAAAGCCCUGGGCUCAACCUAGGAAUGGCAUUCGAGACUGCCGGACUAGAGUAGGGUAGAGGGAGGCGGAAUUUCCGGUGUAGCGGUGAAAUGCGUAGAGAUCGGAAGGAACACCAGUGGCGAAGGCGGCCUCCUGGACCCUAACUGACGCUGAGGUGCGAAAGCGUGGGGAGCGAACAGG
This 253-nucleotide unclassified non-coding RNA is filed under the name uncultured Gammaproteobacteria bacterium. RNAcentral describes it as "contains 16S-23S intergenic spacer region". It matches the Rfam family "Bacterial small subunit ribosomal RNA", at positions 524 to 776 of the family's 1533-position model. The record is from RNAcentral. Lineage: Bacteria; Pseudomonadati; Pseudomonadota; Gammaproteobacteria.